UGAAUUCAAAUGGAGUUGUUCUUGUUGAAUUCUUUGCUCCAUGGUGUGGUCAUUGUAAGGCUCUAACUCCUACAUGGGAGAAGGCAGCUACUGUCUUAAAGGGUGUAGCUACUGUGGCAGCACUUGAUGCUGAUGCUCACCAGUCAUUGGCUCAGGAAUAAGGGGUAAGAGGAUUUCCAACCAUAAAGGUGUUUGCACCUGGGAAGCCACCUGUUGAUUACCAAGGAGCUAGAGAUGUCAAACCAAUUGCUGAAUUCGCUCUUCAACAGUUAAAGACUCUAUUGAAAGAACGUUUAAAUGGAAAAGCAACUGGGGAAUCAAAUAAAAAGUCAGAACCCAGUGCUUCAGUAGAAUUAAACUCUAGCAACUUUGAUGAAUUGGUUCUCAAAAGCAGAGAACUUUGGAUUGUAGAAUUUUUCGCAC
Long non-coding RNA from Gastrolobium bilobum, 423 nucleotides. RefSeq lists it as uncharacterized. The record is from RefSeq and is a predicted model, not a curated record. The transcript has 3 exons. NCBI's taxonomy places the organism in Eukaryota, Viridiplantae, Streptophyta, Magnoliopsida, Fabales, Fabaceae.